GGAGAAAUGUCCGAGUGGCUGAAGGAGCACGCUUGGAAAGCGUGUGAUCGGGUAAAACUGGUUCGUGGGUUCGAAUCCCACUUUCUCCG
RNAcentral lists this transfer RNA (89 nucleotides) under Bacteroidales bacterium. Its description in RNAcentral is "tRNA-Ser". It matches the Rfam family "tRNA". From Rfam's summary of the family: Transfer RNA (tRNA) molecules are approximately 80 nucleotides in length. The record is from RNAcentral. Lineage: Bacteria; Pseudomonadati; Bacteroidota; Bacteroidia; Bacteroidales.